AUUGAACGCUGGCGGCAGGCCUAACACAUGCAAGUCGAGCGGAUGAAGGGAGCUUGCUCCUGGAUUCAGCGGCGGACGGGUGAGUAAUGCCUAGGAAUCUGCCUGGUAGUGGGGGAUAACGUCCGGAAACGGGCGCUAAUACCGCAUACGUCCUGAGGGAGAAAGUGGGGGAUCUUCGGACCUCACGCUAUCAGAUGAGCCUAGGUCGGAUUAGCUAGUUGGUGGGGUAAAGGCCUACCAAGGCGACGAUCCGUAACUGGUCUGAGAGGAUGAUCAGUCACACUGGAACUGAGACACGGUCCAGACUCCUACGGGAGGCAGCAGUGGGGAAUAUUGGACAAUGGGCGAAAGCCUGAUCCAGCCAUGCCGCGUGUGUGAAGAAGGUCUUCGGAUUGUAAAGCACUUUAAGUUGGGAGAAAGGGCAGUAAGUUAAUACCUUGCUGUUUUGACGUUAACAACAGAAUAAGCACCGGCUAACUUCGUG
This 484-nucleotide ribosomal RNA is filed under the name uncultured bacterium. RNAcentral describes it as "partial 16S ribosomal RNA". It matches the Rfam family "Bacterial small subunit ribosomal RNA", at positions 30 to 507 of the family's 1533-position model. The record is from RNAcentral.